RNAcentral lists this ribosomal RNA (497 nucleotides) under uncultured bacterium. RNAcentral's name for it is "partial 16S ribosomal RNA". It matches the Rfam family "Bacterial small subunit ribosomal RNA", at positions 28 to 507 of the family's 1533-position model. The record is from RNAcentral.
GACGAACGCUGGCGGCGUGCCUAAUACAUGCAAGUUGAGCGAUGAAGAUUGGUGCUUGCACCAAUUUGAAGAGCAGCGAACGGGUGAGUAACGCGUGGGGAAUCUGCCUUUGAGCGGGGGACAACAUUUGGAAACGAAUGCUAAUACCGCAUAACAACUUUAAACAUAAGUUUUAAGUUUGAUAGAUGCACUUGCAUUACUCAAAGAUGAUCCCGCGUUGUAUUAGCUAGUUGGUGAGGUAAAGGCUCACCAAGGCGAUGAUACAUAGCCGACCUGAGAGGGUGAUCGGCCACAUUGGGACUGAGACACGGCCCAAACUCCUACGGGAGGCAGCAGUAGGGAAUCUUCGGCAAUGGACGAAAGUCUGACCGAGCAACGCCGCGUGAGUGAAGAAGGUUUUCGGAUCGUAAAACUCUGUUGGUAGAGAAGAACGUUGGUGAGAGUGGAAAGCUCAUCAAGUGACGGUAACUACCCAGAAAGGGACGGCUAACUACGUG